AGUGAACGCUGGCGGUAGGCCUAACACAUGCGAGUCGAACGGCAGCACAGUAAGAGCUUGCUCUUACGGGUGGCGAGUGGCGGACGGGUGAGGAAUACAUCGGAAUCUACUUUUUCGUGGGGGAUAACGUAGGGAAACUUACGCUAAUACCGCAUACGACCUACGGGUGAAAGCAGGGGAUAUUCGGACCUUGCGCGAUUGAAUGAGCCGAUGUCGGAUUAGCUAGUUGGCGGGGUAAAGGCCCACCAAGGCGACGAUCCGUAGCUGGUCUGAGAGGAUGAUCAGCCACACUGGAACUGAGACACGGUCCAGACUCCUACGGGAGGCAGCAGUGGGGAAUAUUGGACAAUGGGCGCAAGCCUGAUCCAGCCAUACCGCGUGGGUGAAGAAGGCCUUCGGGUUGUAAAGCCCUUUUGUUGGGAAAGAAAAGCAGCGGGUUAAUACCCCGCUGUUCUGACGGUACCCAAAGAAUAAGCACCGGCUAACUUCGUG
Molecule: ribosomal RNA, 492 nt
Filed under: uncultured bacterium
Lineage: Bacteria
Description: partial 16S ribosomal RNA
Rfam family: Bacterial small subunit ribosomal RNA
Source: RNAcentral